This is a long non-coding RNA of Papaver somniferum (opium poppy), 587 nucleotides long. RefSeq lists it as uncharacterized. The record is from RefSeq and is a predicted model, not a curated record. The transcript is spliced from 3 exons. Lineage: Eukaryota; Viridiplantae; Streptophyta; Magnoliopsida; Ranunculales; Papaveraceae.
AGACUUAUAUGUUCGAGAGUUUGGUUUGUGGACACUGUAAGAGAAAACAGACGGGAAUCGACGAGAGCUUCUUGUGAAAAGAAAUUCAUCGAAAGGUUUAGAAAAAUUUGUAACCAAUUCUGAUUCAUCUUGAGUGUUUGAAAGUGAUGAAUUUCAUAUUAUAAUCUACUAAUUUCCAUGGAUAUUUGGAAGUAACCAAAGAAGGGUUUUUCUUUGUUCUUGUUUUAUGAUUAAAGGUUGUACUGUUUGAAUAGGUGUCUUUGAAUUCAGUGGGCGGAUUGCGAAGUUUGAGGUUUGAGUAGAGGUUGAGGUAGCUCUGGUGUAAGUGGUGUUGGUUCGGCCGAAAGAGAAAUUGACGUUUGGGUCGAUUAAGUGGACUUAACUUAUGCUCUUGUGAGAUCGUUGCUGGUCUCAGUGUUAUUUUUUUGCAGUCUUGUAACUUCUGAAGGUGUUUUCUCUUUUUGAGUAUUUUGUGUGUAAGCUAGUCUCUAACCCCUGAAUGUAUAUAAUAUGUAUAAUGUAUAUUAACAAACAAAACACUGUAAAUUAGAUGGUUUUGUAUAAUAUGAAAAGUCUAGUUUAUGUCU